RNAcentral lists this transfer RNA (74 nucleotides) under Bacteroidales bacterium. RNAcentral's name for it is "tRNA-Arg". It matches the Rfam family "tRNA". From Rfam's summary of the family: Transfer RNA (tRNA) molecules are approximately 80 nucleotides in length. Their secondary structure includes four short double-helical elements and three loops (D, anti-codon, and T loops). Further hydrogen bonds mediate the characteristic L-shaped molecular structure. tRNAs have two regions of fundamental functional importance: the anti-codon, which is responsible for specific mRNA codon recognition, and the 3' end, to which the tRNAs corresponding amino acid is attached (by aminoacyl-tRNA synthetases). tRNAs cope with the degeneracy of the genetic code in two manners: having more than one tRNA (with a specific anti-codon) for a particular amino acid; and 'wobble' base-pairing, i.e. permitting non-standard base-pairing at the 3rd anti-codon position. The record is from RNAcentral. Lineage: Bacteria; Pseudomonadati; Bacteroidota; Bacteroidia; Bacteroidales. RNAcentral also lists the same sequence under 1 other name.
GGUUCCGUAGCUCAGCUGGAUAGAGCAACGCCCUUCUAAGGCGUGGGCCGAGCGUUCGAAUCGCUCCGGAAUCA